CCGAACCCACGCACGUUGAAAAGUGCGGGGAUGAGGUGUGGGUAGCGGAGAAAUUCCAAUCGAACUUGGAGAUAGCUGGUUCUCUCCGAAAUAGCUUUAGGGCUAGCCUCGAGGUAAAGAGUCAUGGAGGUAGAGCACUGUUUGGACUAGGGGCCCUUCUCGGGUUACCGAAUUCAGAUAAACUCCGAAUGCCAUGUACUUAUACUCGGGAGUCAGACUGCGAGUGAUAAGAUCCGUAGUCGAAAGGGAAACAGCCCAGACCACCAGUUAAGGUCCCCAAAUAUAUGUUAAGUGGAAAAGGAUGUGGGGUUGCUUAGACAACCAGGAUGUUGGCUUAGAAGCAGCCACCAUUGAAAGAGUGCGUAAUAGCUCACUGGUCGAGUGACCCCGCGCCGAAAAUGUACCGGGGCUAAACAUAUUACCGAAACUGUGGAUGAACCUCUUUAGAGGUUCGUGGUAGGAGAGCGUUCUAAGGGCGGUGAAGUCAGACCGGAAGGACUGGUGGAGCGCUUAGAAGUGAGAAUGCCGGUAUGAGUAGCGAAAGAAGGGUGAGAAUCCCUUCCACCGAAUAUCUAAGGUUUCCUGAGGAAGGCUCGUCCGCUCAGGGUUAGUCGGGACCUAAGCCGAGGCCGAUAGGCGUAGGCGAUGGACAACAGGUAGAGAUUCCUGUACCAGUGCUAAUUGUUUAACCGAUGGGGUGACACAGAAGGAUAGGGAAUCGCACGAAUGGAAAUGUGCGUCCAAGCAGUGAGUGUGAGAAGUAGGCAAAUCCGCUUCUCGCGAAGCAUGAGCUGUGAUGGGGAAGGAAAUUAAGUACGGAAGUUCCUGAUUUCACGCUGUCAAGAAAAGCCUCUAGGAAGAGUAGUACUGCCCGUACCGCAAACCGACACAGGUAGAUGAGGAGAGAAUCCUAAGGUGAGCGAGAGAACUCUCGUUAAGGAACUCGGCAAAAUGACCCCGUAACUUCGGGAGAAGGGGUGCUCUAUUAGGGUGCAAGCCCGAGAGAGCCGCAGUGAAUAGGCCCAGGCGACUGUUUAGCAAAAACACAGGUCUCUGCAAAACCGUAAGGUGACGUAUAGGGGCUGACGCCUGCCCGGUGCUGGAAGGUUAAGAGGAGUGCUUAGCUUCGGCGAAGGUACGAAUUGAAGCCCCAGUAAACGGCGGCCGUAACUAUAACGGUCCUAAGGUAGCGAAAUUCCUUGUCGGGUAAGUUCCGACCCGCACGAAAGGCGCAACGAUCUGGGCACUGUCUCAACGAGAGACUCGGUGAAAUUAUAGUACCUGUGAAGAUGCAGGUUACCCGCGACAGGACGGAAAGACCCCGUGGAGCUUUACUGCAACCUGAUAUGGAAUGUUUGUACCGCUUGUACAGGAUAGGUAGGAGCCGAAGAGACGUGUGCGCUAGCAUACGAGGAGGCAAUGGUGGGAUACUACCCUGGCUGUAUGACCAUUCUAACCCGCCACGCUUAGCGCGUGGGGAGACAGUGUCAGGUGGGCAGUUUGACUGGGGCGGUCGCCUCCUAAAGAGUAACGGAGGCGCCCAAAGGUUCCCUCAGAAUGGAUGGAAAUCAUUCGCAGAGUGUAAAGGCACAAGGGAGCUUGACUGCGAGACUGACAAGUCGAGCAGGGACGAAAGUCGGGCUUAGUGAUCCGGUGGUUCCGCAUGGAAGGGCCAUCGCUCAACGGAUAAAAGCUACCCCGGGGAUAACAGGCUUAUCUCCCCCAAGAGUCCACAUCGACGGGGAGGUUUGGCACCUCGAUGUCGGCUCGUCGCAUCCUGGGGCUGUAGUCGGUCCCAAGGGUUGGGCUGUUCGCCCAUUAAAGCGGCACGCGAGCUGGGUUCAGAACGUCGUGAGACAGUUCGGUCCCUAUCCGUCGCGGGCGCAGGAAAUUUGAGAGGAGCUGUCCUUAGUACGAGAGGACCGGGAUGGACACACCGCUGGUGUACCAGUUGUUCCGCCAGGAGCAUCGCUGGGUAGCUAUGUGUGGCAGGGAUAAACGCUGAAAGCAUCUAAGCGUGAAGCCCCCCUCAAGAUGAGAUUUCCCAUUUCUUCGGAAAGUAAGAUCCCUGAAAGAUGAUCAGGUAGAUAGGUUUGGAGUGGAAGUGUAGCGAUACAUGGAGCGGACAAAUACUAAUCGAUCGAGGACUUAACCAA
RNAcentral lists this ribosomal RNA (2156 nucleotides) under Listeria monocytogenes. RNAcentral's name for it is "partial 23S ribosomal RNA". It matches the Rfam family "Bacterial large subunit ribosomal RNA", at positions 774 to 2925 of the family's 2925-position model. The record is from RNAcentral. Lineage: Bacteria; Bacillati; Bacillota; Bacilli; Caryophanales; Listeriaceae.